GUUUAACGGCCGCGGUAUUUUGACCGUGCGAAGGUAGCAUAAUCACUUGUCUUUUAAAUAGAGACCUGUAUGAAUGGCAUAACGAGGGCCUAGCUGUCUCCUUUCCCCAGUCAAUGAAAUUGAUCUGCCCGUGCAGAAGCGGGCAUACCAACAUAAGACGAGAAGACCCUAUGGAGCUUAAGACACGGUAAUUCACGUUAAGAUCCUUAUAUUAUAGGAGAACCAAGUAAAUUUAUCCCCCUGUCUUUGGUUGGGGCGACCGCGGAGUAAUAAAAAACCCCCACGUGGAAGGAACCCCUAAACUUAGAGCCACAGCUCUAAUAAACAGAACAUCUGACCAAAAGACCCGGCAACGCCGAUCAACGGACCCAGUUACCCUAGGGAUAACAGCGCAAUCCCCUUCUAGAGCCCAUAUCGACAAGGGGGUUUACGACCUCGAUGUUGGAUCAGGACUUCCUAAUGGUGCAGCCGCUAUUAAGGG
This 481-nucleotide ribosomal RNA is filed under the name Acentrogobius chlorostigmatoides (greenspot goby). RNAcentral describes it as "partial 16S ribosomal RNA". It matches the Rfam family "Bacterial large subunit ribosomal RNA", at positions 1922 to 2571 of the family's 2925-position model. Lineage: Eukaryota; Metazoa; Chordata; Actinopteri; Gobiiformes; Gobiidae. The record is from RNAcentral.